Molecule: ribosomal RNA, 489 nt
Filed under: uncultured bacterium
Lineage: Bacteria
Description: partial 16S ribosomal RNA
Rfam family: Bacterial small subunit ribosomal RNA
Source: RNAcentral
AUUGAACGCUGGCGGCAGGCCUAACACAUGCAAGUCGAACGGUAACAGGAAGCAGCUUGCUGCUUUGCUGACGAGUGGCGGACGGGUGAGUAAUGUCUGGGAAACUGCCCGAUGGAGGGGAUAACUACUGGAAACGGUAGCUAAUACCGCAUAACGUCGCAAGACCCAGGAGGGGGACCUUAGGGCCUCUUGCCAUCGGAUGUGCCCAGAUGGGAUUAGCUAGUAGGUGGGGUAACGGCUCACCUAGGCGACGAUCCCUAGCUGGUCUGAGAGGAUGACCAGCCACACUGGAACUGAGACACGGUACAGACUCCUACGGGAGGCAGCAGUGGGGAAUAUUGCACAAUGGGCGCAAGCCUGAUGCAGCCAUGCCGCGUGUAUGAAGAAGGCCUUCGGGUUGUAAAGUACUUUCAGCGGGGAGGAAGGGAGUAAAGUUAAUACCUUCGCUCAUUGACGUUACCCGCAGAAGAAGCACCGGCUAACUCCGUG